GGGGAAUCUUCCGCAAUGGGCGAAAGCCUGACGGAGCAAGACCGCGUGGGGGAGGAAGGCUCUAGGGUUGUAAACCCCUUUUCUUUGGGAAGAAGUACUGACGGUACCAAAGGAAUCAGCCUCGGCUAACUCCGUGCCAGCAGCCGCGGUAAUACGGAGGAGGCAAGCGUUAUCCGGAAUGAUUGGGCGUAAAGCGUCCGCAGGUGGCCAUGUAAGUCUGCUGUCAAAACCCAGUGCUCAACACUGGUCAGGCAGUGGAAACUACGUAGCUAGAGUUUGGUAGGGGCAAAGGGAAUUCCCGGUGUAGCGGUGAAAUGCGUAGAGAUCGGGAAGAACAUCGGUGGCGAAAGCGCUUUGCUAGACCAAAACUGACACUCAGGGACGAAAGCUAGGG
Molecule: ribosomal RNA, 394 nt
Filed under: uncultured cyanobacterium
Lineage: Bacteria; Bacillati; Cyanobacteriota
Description: bacterial SSU rRNA
Rfam family: Bacterial small subunit ribosomal RNA
Source: RNAcentral